Long non-coding RNA from Xiphophorus couchianus (Monterrey platyfish), 1075 nucleotides. RefSeq lists it as uncharacterized. The record is from RefSeq and is a predicted model, not a curated record. The transcript is spliced from 4 exons. NCBI's taxonomy places the organism in Eukaryota, Metazoa, Chordata, Actinopteri, Cyprinodontiformes, Poeciliidae.
CGAGCGGUGGCGUGGUUGUAGUUGUCCGUUUUUGCCAAGAAGAGAAAUAAAGUUCGACAAGUUCUUCAUCUGCCUCCUCCUUGUUUUGCCGCCAGCAGAGCUUGUUACCAGCAAACGAGCCGAAAUAGACACCAGCCUGUUCUGGACUUACCAAGAUAAGGACUCUCACUGCGAUUGGUCAGAGUCCUAAAGCUUCAGAAAGACUUUGGAAUCCUUUACAGACUGAGAGAUAUAAAAAAAUUCCUAGCAUCUCACUGAUUUUAAUAUGCAGAUCUGAACACUGCUGUACUCCCUCAGCCAUCUCUCCUCUUUAUUCACUGGGUUUUGUGGUUUUGGGCUUGCUUCAUAGUGCUGCUCUGUGACAUACAUCAUCGGACUGUGGCUGACUUCAUUCAGCAAGAGGAGCCAGAGAUGAGCUGGAGCUCCAUGGAUCCUUCGGGGGUUUUGCACAAGAAAGCUCCACUUUUCUAAUGCAAUAUUCAAACCCAGCCCUGGUCUGAUGGUGCAGUGUGCUCUGCUACUGCUAAGCUGUCUUUUCUCAUCAUGGUCGGCGCUGAGUCAUUCUCCCCACACAGAAGCUGCCUCCACAGCCUUUACAAACUCUUGACAUUCUCCGCGCUGCUCGAGGGCAGCGGGGGUGAACGCACAAGCAUGGGCAAAUACUGAUGUGUGCACUCAUGGGCUACAAGACAAACACCAAAGUAAGCACACCCAUCUUUUUACAACUACAAGCACAUGUAAAAAUUCCCAUUUUGCUUCACAGACACAUUUUUCUCCAUUUAUGAAAAACAAGGAUUUAAAACUAAAUAUAGUUUGUUUGGCACAGGGUCUUUUAAAACUAUUUCCAUACCUUAAAUUUUUUCCACAUUUUUCAUGUUGCAACCACAACCUCCAGUGAAUUUUAUUGGGAUGUUAUGAGCUAGAGCGACACAAGUACAUUAAAAGAAUCUGCAUGGGUUUGAAAUUGUUCUUAAAAUGAAAACUAGAAAUCUGCGACUGAAUAAAAGUGCACUUUUACUUGAACCCCUUCAGUUUAUACUUUGUAAACUAACUUUUCACACUAGUGAAAGAAACU